UGUAUUUUACAUGCUUGGCACUCAGCAGGGUCUGUUCCUUUAAGACCCUCCAUUUUCUUGAAGCCUAGAGGCGGGCCUUCUCUCUAAAACAUAGGGCUAGCUCCGGCAUGUCUCAUUCAUUCCAGCUCCAGCUACCACAGUGACCAGAUCCACAGGACUUCUUAAAGCUAAUACAGACUGCAAAUCUGAUAAAUACCAAAGCCUUUUUACCGCGCACUUUCAUUAUAUCUCAGUAAAGAUUACAUCAGUUAAGCAACCAGCGUGUCUUUCCUUGAGAUUCGGUAUAAACUUGAUGUGAAGCUGUGUCCACGAGACAGCGGAGACAUUAUAGUAAAAAGGCUUUUAAAACGUUAUCAGAAGCAGUUAAUCAGCUUUGAAUCGUCCGCAGCAGUAAAAAAGACUCAUAAAUCCUGUGCCCUGCAGUCUGUGUCGGAGUCAAGGCGCGAAGCACUAGAAAGUGAAACUAAUUCUCUCACGUGCUAUAACACCGCUGUGCUGUGUCCAGUCAUCAUCAUUAUCUAGCUGCCAGCUAAAUCAAGAUGCAGAACCCAGAGAACAGCACUCUGACAGUUAACCCUCAAUGCUCCUAUAAAGAGGAAGACACCUUGCCAAGAAGUAGAUCUAGGUGCACAACAUUGUCUAGAGCGUCCAGUCAAACAAAUCUAACUUCGGUUAGCGCCGAUGCAUCAAGAUUUAAACGCCAUAGUUCUAGACACUCAAGCACCACCAGCCUGUCAUCCGCUAGCGCCAUAGCAACUAAGGCAAGAGCGAAAGCAGAGGCAGCUUGUUCAAUGGCGUCCUAUGCAAAGCAGGAAGCUGAAUUGAUGAAAGAACAAGCAAAAAGUGAAUCUGAAGCACUUAGAAGAAAAGCUGAAUUGAUGAAAGAACAAGCAAAAAGUGAAUCUGAAGCACUUAGAAGAAAAGCUGAAUUGAUGAAAGAACAAGCUGAAGCACUUAGAAGAAAAGCUGAAGUGCAAGCAUCUUUACACUUACUGCAACAGCAGAAAAACGCUGCAGCAGCCUUAGCCGAGGCAGAAGUUCUCACAAGGGCUGCCGAAGCUCAGUUCGCUGACAUAGAAACCCAGAUGUCACCCCUCAGCGCAAGCCAACGUACCCGUGAGUACAUACAGUCACAAGCAACCAUGUACACUGACCAGCAGUUCAAUGACACACCAAGGCCAUCAUUGACUCCACCAGCAAUAAGCAACUUUGAUUCUACGCAACACUGCAAGACUGAAUCAGAACCUCAGGGUAGGAAGUCAAGUGGUCACAUCCUCAGAGACCAAUCUGCCAACCUGACAAGAGUGCAAACGGAUGCUGAUGUACUCCCUCCUCAAGCAAAUACAAGUCUGGAUUAUAGCAGAAAGACUUACAACAGAGGAGAAGAAAGCAGACUUAGUCAAGUACCUCAUCAGCCUUACCAGCCGCAGCCAUACCCUGAGUUUACACCUAGGAAGUAUUCACCAGAUGCAGCAAGAGCUACAGAGGUAGCAAGAUUCCUGAUGCGCCGUGAGAUAGUGAGCGCUGGUCUCAUGAAAUUCGACGACCGUCCAGAAAACUACUGGGCCUGGAAGUCAUCUUUCCUAAGCGGUACCCAAGACUUAGAUCUGACAGACAGAGAAAAGCUUGAUCUGCUCGUCAAAUGGCUAGGACCAGAGUCCACUGAGCAAGCCCAAAGAAUCAGAUCAGUACAUGUUCAUGACGCAACAGCAGGACUUGCAAUGGUGUGGAGGAGACUAGAACACUGCUAUGGGUCACCUGAAGUGAUUGAAGAUGCUCUUCUGAAGAGGAUAGAAAACUAUCCAAGAAUGACAAACAAAGACAAUCAAAAGCUGAGAGGGUUUGGGGACCUACUCUUAGAAAUAGAAGCCGCUAAGUCUAGUGGAUAUCUGCCAGGUCUCUCAUACUUAGAUACAGCACGUGGAGUUGAUCCCAUAAUCGAGAAACUUCCUUUCAACUUGCAGGAAAGGUGGGUCACUCAAGCAUCAAGAUACAAGAAAGAACAUCGAGUCGCAUUUCCACCAUUUGCCUUCCUUGCUGAAUUCAUCGUAGACCAAGCUGAAACACGCAAUGAUCCAAGCUUUGCUUUCCUGAACAAGAGAACUGCAAGCUCCCCAAAGGUAGAGCAAAAACAUCCAACGCCUUACAAAGAACGCAGAGCAACAGUUUCUGUACGGAAGACAGAAAUCUCGCCUGAGUCUGCAGUCAAUCAGGAAGACAGCGCAAGUAAGAAAGUUGAGGAGCCAGACAAAAUAUGUCUAAUCCACAACAAGCCACAUCCACUAAGAAAAUGUCGCAGUUUCAGAAGUAAGACGUUAGAAGAGCGCAAAGCUUACCUUAAAGACAAUCACAUUUGUUUCAGAUGUUGCGCUUCAAUUCAGCAUCUUGCAAAAGACUGUACAAAAACAAUAAAAUGCACAGAGUGCAACAGUGACAAACACCUGUCAGCACUGCACCCAGGACCACCACCAUGGAAACAAGAAGUUCCAGCAAGUCAAGAAGAUCAUGGUGGGGAGCAAGGCGAGAGUACAAUGCCAGCAGUAACCUCAAAGUGUACUGAGAUCUGUACAGAGCAGGGCCGCCCCAGAUCAUGUUCCAAGAUAUGCUUAGUCAAGGUGUAUCCUGCAGGCUUCAGAGAAAAAGCAAUCAAGAUGUACACAGUCUUGGAUGAACAGAGUAACAGAUCUCUGGCAAAAACAGAGUUCUUUGACCUCUUCGGUGACAAAGGAAGUCCAACUCCAUACACCCUGAAGACUUGUUCUGGAGUUGUAGAGACAACAGGGAGAAGAGCAAACAACUACAUCAUUGAGUCAUUAGAUGGAAAGACAAAGGUGACUCUUCCUACCCUCAUAGAAUGUGAUGAGAUACCAGACGACAGGUCAGAGAUCCCCACACCUGAAGUUGCUCGUCAUCACCCCCAUCUGGUGCGAAUAGCAGACCAGAUACCAGCACUAGAUCCAGAUGCUGCAAUCAUCCUUCUACUUGGGAGAGAUAUCCUCAAAGUGCACAAAGUCAGAGAACAGUACAAUGGGCCACACGAUGCACCAUUUGCACAACGCCUUGAUCUCGGAUGGGUCAUCGUUGGAGAAGUAUGUCUAGACGGACUCCACAAACCAGAAAAGGUAAAUGUCUACAGAACACAUCUGUUACAGAAUGGUCGUACAUCUUGUCUUUGCCCAUGUACCAACAGUCUACACAUUAAAGAGAGACUUGUAAACCCAACACAUCAUCCGAGUAUCCAGAGGUGCAUGGAAGACUUAGCCUCAACUGGAGAUACAGAUGAACUGGGCUGUAAGGUGUUUGAAAGAACACGAGAUGACGACAAGCUAGCACCCUCGGUGGAAGAUACUCUCUUCCUUGAGAUCAUGGACAGAGAAGUCUUCAGAGACAAAUCAGGCAGCUGGGUAGCCCCUCUACCCUUCCGGUCACCACGCCAUCGCCUUCCUGACAACAAAGUACAAGCAGAGAAACGCUUCACUUCGUUGCAGCACAUGCUACAAAGAAAGUCAAAUAUGAAGAAACACUUCCAAGCCUUCAUGCAGAAGAUCUUUGAUAACGAUCAAGCUGAAAGGGCACCACCACUACAAGAGAACCAAGAACACUGGUACUUACCAAUAUUUGGGGUGUACCAUCCUCAGAAACCAGGCCAGAUACGCGUAGUAUUUGACUCUAGUGCGAAGCACAAAGGCAUCUCACUAAAUGAUGUCCUUCUCAGUGGACCUGACCUGAACAACACACUCCUUGGAGUACUCAUCAGGUUCAGAAAAGAACUCAUAGCAGUGACAGCAGACGUACAACAGAUGUUCUACUGUUUCCUUGUUCGUGAAGAUCACAGAGACUACUUAAGGUUCCUGUGGUAUGCAGACAAUGACUUUAACAAAGAAAUCACAGAGUACAGGAUGAAGGUACAUGUGUUUGGAAACAGCCCUUCUCCAGCUGUAGCUAUCUACAACCUGAGACGAGCAGCACAGCAAGAUGAAAGACAUGGUCAAGAAGCCACACAGUUCGUCAUGAAGAACUUCUACGUAGAUGAUGGACUUGCUUCUUUCUCCAGCAACGAAGAAGCUAUCAACGUCCUGAAAAGUACAAGAGAAAUGUUGGCAGAAUCCAACAUAAGACUGAACAAGGUAGCUUCCAACAGCAACAGAGUCAUGGAAGCAUUUCCAAUGGAAGACCGUGCUAAAGACCUCAAAGACUUGGAUCUAGGAACAGAAUCACCACCCUUGCAAAGAAGUCUUGGGAUUAGUUGGGACCUGAAGACUGACAGUUUCACCUUCAGGGUCUCCAGAGAAGAGAAGCCAUUCACAAAAAGAGGUGUCCUAUCUACAGUCAACAGUCUUUACGACCCCCUGGGGUUCGUAGCACCCAUCAUCAUGCAAGGCAAAGCUCUUUUGAGACAGAUCACUACUGAGCAAGAACAAAGUGACUGGGACAUACCUCUACCUGAAGAGAAGGAAAUGCAGUGGAAGUUGUGGAAAGACUCAUUGUUAGAGCUUGAACAACUCAACAUCCCUAGACCAUACGUAUCUGUUUCCUUGUCUGCUACAAAGAGAAGAGAAAUAUGCAUAUUCUCUGACGCCUCCACUAUGGCUAUCGCAUCUGUCGCCUACCUUAGGGUAAUAGACACUGAGGGACAAAGCCAUGUCGGGUUCCUCAUGGGAAAAUCUAAGCUGGCUCCCAGACCGGCUCACACUGUCCCACGUCUAGAACUUUGUGCUGCUGUCUUAGCUGUAGAGAUGGCAGACAUGAUUACAACAGAACUGGACAUCGAGACCCAUGCAAUUAACUUUUAUACAGACAGCAAGAUUGUGUUAGGAUAUAUUCACAAUGCUUCAAGAAGAUUUUAUACAUACGUGGCCAACAGAGUGACACGUAUCAGAAAGUCUACAAGUCCAGAACAGUGGCAUUACAUCAGCACUGACAAGAACCCCGCUGAUCAUGGGACAAGACUAGUGCCAGCCGCUGCGCUCAAGCAAACUAACUGGUUUGUAGGUCCAUCCUUUCUUCGUAAACCAGAAACCAAAGAAAAUACUCAGGUAGAGACCUUUCAGCUCAUAGAACCAGAUCAAGACAAAGAGGUAAGACCUCAAGUGACAGUUUGUAGGACUAUAGUUACAAGAGACAGUCUGGGUGCUCAUAGAUUUGAAAGGUUUUCCAGCUGGAAGUCGCUGACCCGUGCAAUCGGAAAACUUAUCUGUCUAGCCAGAUCCUCCUGCAGAGCUACCAAUACUGAUCAGCAUAGCAAUGACCACCUUGAACAAGCCAAGGUCACGAUCAUCAGAUGCAUCCAGCAGGAAGUCUUUAAAGAAGAAAUCCAAAGCCUUAUGAAAAAGGAAGAGAUUUCUCGACACAAUACGCUAAAGAAGUUGAACCCUAUCCUCGACGAAGAUGGAGUGUUAAGAAUUGGAGGUCGCUUGUCGGCAGCAGAUACAACUAUCCAAGAGAGACAUCCCUUCAUCAUACCCAAAAAUCAUCACAUCGCUCUUCUUCUGGUGAGACAUUAUCACGAGCAAGUCGCACAUCAAGGUCGACACUUCACUGAAGGAGCGGUACGGUCAGCAGGGUUGUGGAUCAUAGGAGGUAAGAGACUAGUCUCCAGUGUGAUCAGCAAAUGCGUGACCUGCAAGAAGAUUAGAGGGAAACUUGAAGUUCAGAAGAUGUCAAACUUACCUGCGGACAGACUUUCUUCAGAUCCUCCAUUCACUCAUGUAGGUCUAGACGUUUUUGGCCCUUGGAACAUCUCUUCUCGCAAGACCAGAGGAGGCAGUGCCGAGAGUAAACGUUGGGCUGUUCUGUUCUCCUGCCUGAGUACCAGAGCAGUUCACAUUGAAGUGAUUGAAUCUUUAUCCACUUCAAGUUUCAUCAAUGCCUUGAGAAGAUUCUUCUCUAUCCGAGGACCAGCAAAAUUGAUUCGUUCAGACCGUGGCACAAACUUUAUUGGGGCUUGCAAAGAGUUGAAGAUCAUUUCUACAGACUCUGAAACAGGUUCCUAUCUUCAAAACCAAGGAUGCACUUGGACUUUUAAUCCUCCUCACGCAUCGCAUAUGGGAGGAGCCUGGGAGAGGAUGAUAGGAGUAGCUCGUCGCAUUCUGGAUGCCAUGCUCCUGAAGGUUGGGUCUACUCGCCUCACACAUGAAGCUUUGACUACGCUAAUGGCUGAAGUCAUGGCCAUUAUGAACGCCAGACCUUUGGUUCCAGUGUCCACAGAUCCGGAGAUGCCGGCAGUCUUGACACCUGCAAUGCUGUUGACUCAGAAGAUGGAACCAGUGACAGCCCCCACAGGAGACUUUGACCUCAAGGACUUGUACACCAAGCAAUGGAAACAAGUUCAAAGUCUUGCGGACAUUUUCUGGAAGAGAUGGAGACAGGAAUACCUGGUGACACUCCAGCCACGCAAGAAAUGGCAAGAUGACAAGCCCAAUUUACAAGUUGGAGACGUUGUUUUACUGAAAGACUCUCAGGCCCACAGGAACGAGUGGCCUAUUGGACUCAUUGUGGGGACUGAUCCUAGUAGUGAUGCUAGAGUUAGAAAGGUUGAAGUUAGGAUUGUUAGACAGGGCAUUCCCAAAGUGUAUGCAAGGCCAAUUUCUGAAGUAGUUUUACUCCUGUCCAAGGGUUAGUGGCAUAACAAAAAGUAUGCCAGGUGGGGAGUGUGCUGCCUUCGCAAUGUAUUUUACAUGCUUGGCACUCAGCAGGGUCUGUUCCUUUAAGACCCUCCAUUUUCUUGAAGCCUAGAGGCGGGCCUUCUCUCUAAAACAUAGGGCUAGCUCCGGCAUGUCUCAUUCAUUCCAGCUCCAGCUACCACAGUGACCAGAUCCACAGGACUUCUUAAAGCUAAUACAGACUGCAAAUCUGAUAAAUACCAAAGCCUGGAACAUGUUUAUCAGAAAAUUACCUACUGUUUAAAUCAAGCUUUUUAGGUUAGUGUUUCUAUGUUAAACUGUCAUUCAAAAAGAUUUCCAACAUCACAGAGACAUGUCAAAGGUUUUAAUUCAAUUACUACAGCGAAGAGGAAAAAGCACUCCCCACUCUCUCCUUACUGCAAGAGACUGGUUCAUAGACUUUCUUAUCCAUACCCAUAUGGUGUCAUCCGUUGCCUAUCCCAUUCUGGGGUGACUGUUUACUGUGCCCGGAGUGAUCGGUGGAGCUUGACCAAUCAACAUGGUGAUUUCCUGUUGGAGUUCCUUCCCUCUAAAAACAAGUCCCUGGAUCUCUUGUUUAUGAAAAUUCCCUUUCAAGGAUGCCCUCUUAAAGAAUGUAUUCACAUCAUCGAGACAUUGUGGUUAUCUUCACCCAUAGACUUUUAGAGUGUUCUCAUAAUGAUUACCAUUAUGUAACACUAUUAUUAUGGGGUAACAGGCAUAUCUGCGACGAUCUUAUAGCCUAAUUUACGCAGACAGGCUUAUAAUCACUUGUAUCUAAAGCCAAAUGACCUAGCAGACUGUGGUUGGAGAACCGUGGGGAAACACAAGCGCUUUCCAGAGACAACACCACGGAUGGACUCAACCCAAUACCCUUGUGUAUCCCAUUAGUAUCACUCUACAUGUACUGAUACUUUUAAUCAAAUUGUGGUAUAUUAGCAAUGAUUUAUAUUUUAGUCAUUGUCAGUAAUCACCCUUAUGCCUCAUCUGGUUGUUUUACUAUAAUCCGUAGCCUGAAAACGAUCUGUUUGGAGCAAUUUUGAACAGCUAAUGUCAUGGCGAUUGUCCUGCAGUAAACAAACUGUACAUUAGUGUAAUAUCACUGAGGAUGUUCUAAUGAUAAUAGUGCGAGCACAGAUUGCUCUGCAGUAAUUUAAUAGGGCAGGACUGCCAACGUCUCGAUGAUCAUGCUGCAAAUAGGAAUAUAACACAUAAUAACACAUAUUUGUAAACCAAUAGUCAAACAUACAGAAUAUGCUGUCAAUUCAUUCGGAUUGAGGAUGUUUUAUUUUUUUCUAUUUAUUGCACCAA
Molecule: RNA transcript, 7952 nt
Organism: Hyla sarda
Lineage: Eukaryota; Metazoa; Chordata; Amphibia; Anura; Hylidae
Exons: 5
Source: RefSeq, a predicted model, not a curated record